Molecule: small RNA, 67 nt
Filed under: Bacillus sp. SJS
Lineage: Bacteria; Bacillati; Bacillota; Bacilli; Caryophanales; Bacillaceae
Description: Bacillaceae-1 RNA
Rfam family: Bacillaceae-1 RNA
Source: Rfam by way of RNAcentral
CAGGAAUGAAGUUCUGCUAAGUGCGAGGCGUCCUGUCGCAGCACAGAACUGACCCGCGUCCUGCGAG